RNAcentral lists this ribosomal RNA (357 nucleotides) under Bradyrhizobium sp. 12LoS3_4. RNAcentral's name for it is "bacterial LSU rRNA". It matches the Rfam family "Bacterial large subunit ribosomal RNA", at positions 1 to 270 of the family's 2925-position model. Lineage: Bacteria; Pseudomonadati; Pseudomonadota; Alphaproteobacteria; Hyphomicrobiales; Nitrobacteraceae. The record is from RNAcentral. RNAcentral also lists the same sequence under 1 other name.
AAUCAAGUGCCUUAAGGGUGUUCGGUGGAUGCCUUGGCGCUGAGAGGCGAUGAAGGACGUGCUACGCUGCGAUAAGCCGUGGGGAGCUGCGAAGAAGCUUUGAUCCGCGGAUUUCCGAAUGGGGAAACCCACCUUCGAUAGCCGGAACUCCAAGACCUUUGGUUUUGGGGUUUGACCAGAAAUGAUCGGAACCAUGACCGCAAGGUUUUGGAUUUCCGGUUAUCAAGAGAAGGUAUGAGACUUCUGAAUACAUAGGAGGUUUCAAGCAAACCCAGGGAACUGAAACAUCUAAGUACCUGGAGGAAAGGACAUCAACAGAGACUCCGUUAGUAGUGGCGAGCGAACGCGGACCAGGCC